GCAGUGGUGGUUCAGUGGUAGGAUCCUUGCCUUCCGUGUGGAAGGCCCAGGUUCAAUUCCUGGCCAGUGCA
RNAcentral lists this transfer RNA (71 nucleotides) under Loxodonta africana (African savanna elephant). It matches the Rfam family "tRNA". Rfam says of the family: Transfer RNA (tRNA) molecules are approximately 80 nucleotides in length. Their secondary structure includes four short double-helical elements and three loops (D, anti-codon, and T loops). Further hydrogen bonds mediate the characteristic L-shaped molecular structure. tRNAs have two regions of fundamental functional importance: the anti-codon, which is responsible for specific mRNA codon recognition, and the 3' end, to which the tRNAs corresponding amino acid is attached (by aminoacyl-tRNA synthetases). tRNAs cope with the degeneracy of the genetic code in two manners: having more than one tRNA (with a specific anti-codon) for a particular amino acid; and 'wobble' base-pairing, i.e. permitting non-standard base-pairing at the 3rd anti-codon position. The record is from Rfam by way of RNAcentral. Lineage: Eukaryota; Metazoa; Chordata; Mammalia; Proboscidea; Elephantidae.